CGAUGGAUACUCGCGGUGCGCCUUUAUGGUGCGUCGCUUAGCGAAAGCGUUAAGUAUCCCACCUGGGGAGUACGCCGGCAACGGUGAAACUCAAAGGAAUUGACGGGGGCCCGCACGAGCGGAGGAACAUGUGGUUUAAUUCGAUGAUACGCGAGGAACCUUACCCGGGCUUGAAUUGCGACUGACUGCAUCAGAGAUGAUGUUUCCAGCAAUGGCAGUCGUGAAGGUGCUGCAUGGUUGUCGUCAGCUCGUGCCGUGAGGUGUCGGCUUAAGUGCCAUAACGAGCGCAACCCUUUUCCCUGUUUGCCAUCGGGUAAUGCCGGGCACUCCAGGGAUACUGCCAUCGUAAGAUGUGAGGAAGGUGGGGAUGACGUCAAAUCAGCACGGCCCUUACGUCCGGGGCUACACACGUGUUACAAUGGGCGGCACAGAGGGCAGCGACCGCGCGAGCGGCAGCCAAUCCCGAAAUUCGCUCUCAGUUCGGACUGGAGUCUGCAACCCGACUCCACGAAGCUGGAUUCGCUAGUAAUCGCGCAUCAGCCAUGGCGCGGUGAAUACGUUCCCGGGCCUUGUACACACCGCCCGUC
Molecule: ribosomal RNA, 587 nt
Filed under: uncultured bacterium
Lineage: Bacteria
Description: bacterial SSU rRNA
Rfam family: Bacterial small subunit ribosomal RNA
Source: RNAcentral